CCUCUUCCAAUCGCGGUCAACCGCGCCUAUAUACGGCGUGUCAGCGCAAGCUGACUAUGGUGAUAAACGGACGGUGUAAUAAACCCAUUGGACCCGGGGGGGGCGGUACCCGGCGCCUCCACCAGAAUACAGAUCGGCUAAUGGUUUGUAUUGUGGCGGGGGSGGAGAACAGGAUCGACAAGGGUGUAAAGAUCGCUCUUUUACUCGGCAUGAUACCACCGUUAUCGGGUCAAUUGAGUAGUUGCAAAUGACAACAAAGCUCAGGGUUAUGCUCUCGCUGCCUAAUGGCGGUGCGGGAAACCCACUCUAAAGCCCUUGGGGGGGUUAGCACCUUAAGGCGGGGGGGUUCGGAGGCACCUGGCAACAGAAGCCUCCACU
RNAcentral lists this transfer-messenger RNA (378 nucleotides) under Brucella intermedia 229E. RNAcentral's name for it is "Ochrobactrum intermedium 229E Alphaproteobacteria transfer-messenger RNA". It matches the Rfam family "Alphaproteobacteria transfer-messenger RNA". Rfam says of the family: Bacterial tmRNA, also known as 10Sa RNA or SsrA, is named for its dual tRNA and mRNA-like properties. Its role is to liberate the mRNA from a stalled ribosome. Lineage: Bacteria; Pseudomonadati; Pseudomonadota; Alphaproteobacteria; Hyphomicrobiales; Brucellaceae. The record is from Rfam by way of RNAcentral.